CCCUGAGCCUGAGGAAAUUCGAGCCGCCCAUGUUCGAGCCGCCCACGGCGAGGAGGGUCCGCCAGAAGACAGGCUACCUCAACCUGGAGCGCGAGCAGCUGAUG
This 104-nucleotide non-coding RNA is filed under the name Heterocapsa rotundata. Lineage: Eukaryota; Dinophyceae; Peridiniales; Heterocapsaceae. The record is from RNAcentral.